Molecule: ribosomal RNA, 492 nt
Filed under: uncultured bacterium
Lineage: Bacteria
Description: partial 16S ribosomal RNA
Rfam family: Bacterial small subunit ribosomal RNA
Source: RNAcentral
AGUGAACGCUGGCGGUAGGCCUAACACAUGCAAGUCGAACGGCAGCACAGUAAGAGCUUGCUCUUACGGGUGGCGAGUGGCGGACGGGUGAGGAAUACAUCGGAAUCUACUUUUUCGUGGGGGAUAACGUAGGGAAACUUACGCUAAUACCGCAUACGACCUACGGGUGAAAGCAGGGGAUCUUCGGACCUUGCCCGAUUGAAUGAGCCGAUGUCGGAUUAGCUAGUUGGCGGGGUAAAGGCCCACCAAGGCGACGAUCCGUAGCUGGUCUGAGAGGAUGAUCAGCCACACUGGAACUGAGACACGGUCCAGACUCCUACGGGAGGCAGCAGUGGGGAAUAUUGGACAAUGGGCGCAAGCCUGAUCCAGCCAUACCGCGUGGGUGAAGAAGGCCUUCGGGUUGUAAAGCCCUUUUGUUGGGAAAGAAAAGCAGCAGGUUAAUACCCAGCUGUUCUGACGGUACCCAAAGAAUAAGCACCGGCUAACUUCGUG